Molecule: ribosomal RNA, 478 nt
Filed under: uncultured bacterium
Lineage: Bacteria
Description: bacterial SSU rRNA
Rfam family: Bacterial small subunit ribosomal RNA
Source: RNAcentral
UUAUGGCUCAGGACGAACGCUGGCGGCGUGCUUAACACAUGCAAGUCGAACGGGAGUAUUGAAGAAGCUUGCUUAGAGAUACUUUAGUGGCGGACGGGUGAGUAACGCGUGAGGAGCUGUCCUAUGCAGGGGGACAACAGCUGGAAACGGCUGCUAAUACCCCAUAAGCCGAGAGGUAAAAGGAUCAAUCCGGCAGAGGAGGUACUCGCGUCCUAUCAGCUAGUAGGUGAGGUAACGGCUCACCUAGGCGAAGACGGGUAGCCGGCCUGAGAGGGCGAACGGCCACACUGGAACUGAGAUACGGUCCAGACUCCUACGGGAGGCAGCAGUGGGGAAUAUUGGGCAAUGGGGGGAAACCCUGACCCAGCGACGCCGCGUGGGUGAAGAAAUCCUUCGGGAUGUAAAGCCCUGUUGUAUGGGAAGAGCGGAAGACGGUACCAUACGAGGAAGCCCCGGCAAACUACGUGCCAGCCGCCGC